UGAGUGGUUAGCGUGCAAGACUCACAACUAGGAGACCCGAGUUCAAUACCUCCCUCCGCCUGUGUGGAGUUUACAUGUUCUCCCCGUGCAUGCAUAGACAGACAAACUCCUAUUUAGUGUGGAAGUGGCAACAUCUGGACCGGCCCGAGUCCAAGCAAGUCAAGGUCGAGGUCUGCACUCUCACAAGCUGCGCAGUCCAAGACAAAAAGACAAAAAGUCGCCCACUACUUCCUGGAAGAUGGCAUUGUAAAACAGCAGGCUGCCAACUAUCUGUCAGUCAGCAACAGACGUGGGAGAUAAGACAGAGACCCAGUGACGGAAAAGAACGAGUCCAGUCGUCCCUGCGUGCUCCCCUGGCGACUCUUCACGAUCUUCUUACACCCGUUUCGGAUCCUGUCCUCGCUGCAAGGACGUGCAAUCAAAUCAUCAGAAAAGGACCUGCAUUGUU
Molecule: non-coding RNA, 448 nt
Organism: Doryrhamphus excisus (bluestripe pipefish)
Lineage: Eukaryota; Metazoa; Chordata; Actinopteri; Syngnathiformes; Syngnathidae
Source: RefSeq, a predicted model, not a curated record